GUCCUUCCAACGUGACCAGAUAACCAAGAACGUCCCAGAUAGGUUCUCUAUUCGUAAUAUAUUGGUAACUUCAUGACUUACUGGCAACGUAACUACGACGUCGUUUGCACAUACUGUAUCAGGAGGACAGCGCGUUUGUUUGAGGCACUUUUCACUUCAACUGUGUCUGACCGGAGAAUUAGCUUUUCUGAGCCGUUGAGAGUUACCAUGGCAACCGCGGACACAUCAGCUGCUGGAGAGGAGAGGACGCGUCUGACACUUUCUCUGUUUCUCGUCAGUUAUACCAAAGAAAAGUUCAACAACUGCGACAGAUUGCUUAAUUUGUUUAUUUCUAAUAAGGAGCUGGAGGCCGUGGAGAAGCAGAUCCGUGACCUCGUGGAGAAGCAGGCUCAGCUGAGAGAGCGGAGAGCCGUGAUGGAAACAUUCAGGGGUUGAUGCUCAUAAGUCCAGUGUAAGUAUACAGCACGCUGCUAACUCUCCCACCACCUCUACUCUGUGUGGUUCUCUGCACAGGCCCGGUGUACCCAGGACGCAAUCUUCCCAGAUGUCCUUCACCCUGUGCCACAGCGGAAGACAUGAGCCAGGUCCUGGGGGACAACCUCUCUCCCCCCGUCGCCUCCGGUCUUCGGGAACUCCACUGGAAUCCGAUUUCCUCCACUUCACGAGACAGAACACGACUCUGUGUUCGUCGGAGACUCCAUCAUCCGGCAUAUUCGUGCUAUGUUAGCUGGAGGUAAUGUGCACACUCACUGUUUCCCUGGUGCUCGUGUUCUUGAUAUUUCUGCGCAGAUACCCGUGAUCCUGAAGGGUGAAGAGAGCAUCGGAGCGGUCGUGCUUCACGCCGGGGUUAACAACACCAAAGCUGCGGCAGACGCAGACACUAAAGAGGGACUUCAGGAGCCUGAUCGAGAUGGUGUGCAGCAUAUCGCCUGCACGAUGAUCAUCAUCUCAGCACCUUUUCUCAUGUAUAGAUGAGGACACGAAAGGUUCAGUAGAGUUUUUGCUCUAAAUGAAUGGUUAUUGUCAUGGUGUAAAGAACAGAAACUGCUCUUUGUUAAUAAUUGGAAUCUUUUCUGGAAGCGUCCUAGGCUUUUUCGCGCUGAUGGCCUGAACACCAGCAGAGUCGGAGCGGAGCUGCUCUCGGACAACAUCUCCAGGACUCUACGCUCCAUUUGACUAGGCAGUUUGUGAAGACAGAUAAUCAAGAGAUGUGACAAACUGUACAGAAGUCAGUUCCAGAUCCACCCUCCACACCAGACCUCUCUCAUAUGGACUGCUGUCUACUAGCAUACUUCGGUGGAUGCAGAUAUUACUCAGGGACAUGAACACUUGAAUAUUGCAAGCAUAGAGAAAGUAAGAAUUACUGAAGAUUUAAGAAUUUAAUAUUAAUUGCUUAAACAUUAUAUAUACUGUUUUAGCAAUUAACAUUAAUAGUUUUUUUUUUGUUUGUUUUUUUGGUGUCCAAAGCACCUAAAAGCCAAUUCACACCGCCAUACUCCAGCAGUUCAAACAAAAUAAGCAUGUUUUUUAAAUAGUUUUUUUGGCAGUGUGAACUGGCCAUAAUGCUGUAUGUUAGGUGUGAGAUUCAUUAAACCUGAUUUGCUAUAAUACAUCUGUUCAUAAGAUAUUGCAUAUGAUUUUCAGUUAAUUAUUUGUAGUGGUUUGGUUAAGGGUGCGAUUAGCUGAUGUAUUAUUGUGGGAGCAUGUGAUUAGUUGAUGUGUGCAUGGUUAAUGAUGGCUCUCUUAAAUAUUUAAAUGCAAUGGGCUGAGUGCCUACUAAGACUUGAAUAUUUGUGCAUAAUGUUUUGAUCCUGGAUGCUUACAGAAGGAUAUAGAUAUUUAAAUAUAUGGACAUUUAUUUAUUAUUAAUAUAUUUUAAUCUAUGUGCUUCUGUAUGGGCUGAAUGCUUUCAUUCAUAUUUUGCUGUAUAUCCUAUGUUUUUAUUAAUAAUUUGGGUGUAUUACUGGUCAUAUUUGUUUGUUAAUAAAUGAACUGAAU
Molecule: long non-coding RNA, 1998 nt
Organism: Cyprinus carpio carpio
Lineage: Eukaryota; Metazoa; Chordata; Actinopteri; Cypriniformes; Cyprinidae
Source: Ensembl